GAUGAACGCUGGCGGCGUGCUUAACACAUGCAAGUCGAACGAAGCAUUUAAGACAGAUUACUUCGGUUUGAAGUCUUUUAUGACUGAGUGGCGGACGGGUGAGUAACGCGUGGGUAACCUGCCUCAUACAGGGGGAUAGCAGCUGGAAACGGCUGGUAAUACCGCAUAAGCGCACAGUACCACAUGGUACAGUGUGAAAAACUCCGGUGGUAUGAGAUGGCCCCGCGUCUGUUUAGCUUGAUGGCGAGGUGACGGCCCACCAAGGCGACGAUCAGUAGCCGACCUGGGAGGGUGACCGGCCACAUUGGGACUGAGGCACGGCCCAGACUCCUACGGGAGGCAGCAGUGGGGAAUAUUGCACAAUGGAGGAAACGCUGAUGCAGCGACGCCGCGUGAGUGAAGAAGUAGUUCGCUAUGUAAAGCUCUAUCAGCAGGGAAGAUAGUGACGGUACCUGACUAAGAAGCUCCGGCUAAAUACGUG
Molecule: ribosomal RNA, 481 nt
Filed under: uncultured bacterium
Lineage: Bacteria
Description: partial 16S ribosomal RNA
Rfam family: Bacterial small subunit ribosomal RNA
Source: RNAcentral